GUGGGGAAUCUUCCGCAAUGGGCGAAAGCCUGACGGAGCGACGCCGCGUGGGGGACGAAGGCCUUCGGGUCGUAAACCCCUGUCAGAGGGAAAGAUGGGUGCCGGUGUAAAUAGCGCCGGCAUUUGACGGUACCCUCAGAGGAAGCCACGGCCAACUCCGUGCCAGCAGCCGCGGUAAUACGGAGGUGGCAAGCGUUGCUCGGAAUCACUGGGCGUAAAGGGCGCGUAGGCGGGGAGGUAAGUCGGGUGUGAAAUCCCUCGGCCCAACCGAGGAACUGCGCCCGAGACUGCUUCUCUUGAGUCCCGGAGAGGAAGGUGGAAUUCCCGGUGUAGCGGUGAAAUGUGUAGAGAUCGGGAGGAACACCGGUGGCGAAGGCGGCCUUCUGGACGGUGACUGACGCUGAGGCGCGAAAGCGUGGGGAGCAAACGGGAUUAGAUACCCGUGUAGUCC
This 451-nucleotide ribosomal RNA is filed under the name uncultured bacterium. RNAcentral describes it as "bacterial SSU rRNA". It matches the Rfam family "Bacterial small subunit ribosomal RNA", at positions 354 to 796 of the family's 1533-position model. The record is from RNAcentral.